RNAcentral lists this ribosomal RNA (433 nucleotides) under Rhacophorus rhodopus. RNAcentral describes it as "partial 16S ribosomal RNA". It matches the Rfam family "Bacterial large subunit ribosomal RNA", at positions 1973 to 2574 of the family's 2925-position model. The record is from RNAcentral. Lineage: Eukaryota; Metazoa; Chordata; Amphibia; Anura; Rhacophoridae.
UCUUUAAAUAGGGAGUUGUAUCAACGGCAUCACGAGGGUUACACUGUCUCCUCUCUCCAAUCAGUGAAACUGAUCUCCCCGUGAAGAAGCGGGGAUAGACUAAUAAGACGAGAAGACCCCAUGGAGCUUUAAACCCACAGCAACUCUAACACCUUACCCCUCAUAACCAGUAGAGACAUGCACGUCGGCUUUAGGUUGGGGUGACCGCGGAGUAAAAUCAACCCUCCACGACGAAAAGAAGUAAAUCUUUAUCUAAGAGUGACCACUCUAAGAAUUAGCAUACUAACGAACAAUGACCCGAUAAUCGAUCAACGGACCAAGUUACCCUGGGGAUAACAGCGCAAUCUACUUCAAGAGCCCGUAUCAACAAGUAGGCUUACGACCUCGAUGUUGGAUCAGGGUACCCCGGUGGUGCAGCCGCUACUAAAGGGUC